ACGUAGGGCGCAAGCGUUGUCCGGAAUUAUUGGGCGUAAAGAGCUCGUAGGCGGUUUGUCGCGUCUGCCGUGAAAUCCUGGGGCUUAACUCUGGGCGUGCGGUGGGUACGGGCAGACUAGAGUGCGGUAGGGGAGACUGGAAUUCCUGGUGUAGCGGUGGAAUGCGCAGAUAUCAGGAGGAACACCGGUGGCGAAGGCGGGUCUCUGGGCCGUUACUGACGCUGAGGAGCGAAAGCAUGGGGAGCGAACAG
This 251-nucleotide ribosomal RNA is filed under the name uncultured prokaryote. RNAcentral describes it as "partial 16S rRNA". It matches the Rfam family "Bacterial small subunit ribosomal RNA", at positions 525 to 775 of the family's 1533-position model. The record is from RNAcentral.